RNAcentral lists this ribosomal RNA (220 nucleotides) under uncultured bacterium. Its description in RNAcentral is "partial 16S ribosomal RNA". It matches the Rfam family "Bacterial small subunit ribosomal RNA", at positions 57 to 305 of the family's 1533-position model. The record is from RNAcentral.
GCAAGUCGAGCGCUCACUUCGUUGGGAGCGGCGGACGGGGUAGUAACGCGUGGGAACAUACCCUUUUCUACCGAAUAGCCUCGGGAAACUGAGAGUAAUACCGUAUACGCCCCUCGGGGGAAAGAUUUAUCGGUGAAGGAUUGGCCCGCGUUGGAUUAGAUAGUUGGUGGGGUAAUGGCCUACCAAGUCGACGAUCCAUAGCUGGUUUGAGAGGAUGAUC